AACCAAAUCAAGUGAAUCUAUUACAACCGGAAAAGAAGGAGUAAAAGCAAGUUAGACUCGAUUUUGAUGAUGAUAUUGGUAGUAGCAAUGAAAUCUCCGGUACGAAUAAAAGCAUAAGCAAUCUUCAAUGAGGAUCCACAACCGAGUUUGAGCAGAGAAUUGAUCUCUUUAGAUCUGAUCGACAAUGGAGGCGUGGAGCCAUUGAACCGAGAUAGCAUUAAAAUUUUCAGAAAAAUAUCUAGCACAGGCCUUAGGUGGUUCAACGAUUUGCCCAAAUGCUCUAUCGCCUCUCAUGGUUCAUCGGCUCACCAGCUCAUCGGCUCUUCACUCCAACAGCUCCUCGAGCGUCCAAUUUUUGAAGUGCCCCUCUGUGAGGCGUCUCCCCUGUGAGGCGCCCCGCUUGUGAGGCAUUUCGCUUAUGUUGCGUCUCGCUUAUGAGGCGUCUCGCCUCUUCACUCCAUCAGCUCUUGGAGCAUACAAAAAUUUGAAAAGUAUCUAGCACAGCCCUCAAGUGGUUCAAUGAUUUGCUUCCAUGCUCUAUCGCCUCUCCUAUUUCAUCGUCUCAUCGGCUCACCAGCUCUUCGCUCUAACAGCUCUUGGAGCGUCCAAUUUUUGAAG
RNAcentral lists this long non-coding RNA (618 nucleotides) under Daucus carota (carrot). Its description in RNAcentral is "long non-coding RNA (DCAR_LNC006688)". Lineage: Eukaryota; Viridiplantae; Streptophyta; Magnoliopsida; Apiales; Apiaceae. The record is from RNAcentral.